This 581-nucleotide ribosomal RNA is filed under the name Thoralus cranchii. Its description in RNAcentral is "partial 16S ribosomal RNA". It matches the Rfam family "Bacterial large subunit ribosomal RNA", at positions 1793 to 2647 of the family's 2925-position model. Lineage: Eukaryota; Metazoa; Arthropoda; Malacostraca; Decapoda; Hippolytidae. The record is from RNAcentral.
UUUUCGCCUGUUUAUCAAAAACAUUUUUGUUAGCUUAUAUAAACAAUAUAGCCUGCCCACUGGUAUUUACUAAAGGGCCGCGGUAUUUUGACCGUGCGAAGGUAGCAUAGUCAAUAGUCUUUUAAUUGGAGGCUUGAAUGAAUGGUUGCACGAGAAAGAAGCUGUCUCUUUCUAAAGAUUGAAUUUUACUUUUGAGUGAAAAGGCUUAAAUAAUCUGAAGUGACGAUAAGACCCUAUAAAAUUUUACGAUUGGGUUUUAUUUUAUAAAAUUUAGUUUAACUUAAAUUAAGAUUAUUAUCGUUGGGUUGGGGCGACUUUUAUAUAAUAAAAUAACUGUAAAAUAAGAUAAUAAAUUUAUUUAGUUAGUUGAUCCUUUUAUAAAGAUUAAAAGAUUAAAUUACUUUAGGGAUAACAGCGUGAUUUUUCCUGAGAGUUCUUAUCGACGGAAUUAGUUGCGACCUCGAUGUUGAAUUAAAGUGUCUAUUAAGUGCAGGAGCUUAAAUAGUUGGUCUGUUCGACCAUUAAAACUUUACAUGAUUUGAGUUCAAACCGGUGUGAGCCAGGUUGGGUUUCUAUCUAAA